UGGGGAAUUUUGGACAAUGGACGAAAGUCUGAUCCAGCGACGCCGCGUGGAGGAUGAAGGUUUUCGGAUCGUAAACUCCUUUUACAGGGGACGAAAGCUCGCAAGAGUUUGACGGUACUCUGUGAAUAAGCCACGGCUAACUACGUGCCAGCAGCCGCGGUAAUACGUAGGUGGCGAGCGUUACUCGGAAUUACUAGGCGUAAAGCGCGUGUAGGCGGGAGCUUAAGUCUGUCGUGAAAGCUCAGGGCUCAACCCUGAAAUGUCGACGGAAACUGGGCUUCUUGAGUGCGGUAGAGGAGAUCGGAAUUCCAGGUGUAGCGGUGAAAUGCGUAGAUAUCUGAAGGAACACCAGUGGCGAAGGCGACUCCCUGGACUAAAACUGACGCUGAGGUACGAAAGCGUGGGUAGCAAACAGG
This 416-nucleotide ribosomal RNA is filed under the name uncultured bacterium. Its description in RNAcentral is "bacterial SSU rRNA". It matches the Rfam family "Bacterial small subunit ribosomal RNA", at positions 355 to 776 of the family's 1533-position model. The record is from RNAcentral.